AGAUUGAACGCUAGCGGGAUGCUUUACACAUGCAAGUCGAACGGCAGCGCGGACUUCGGUCUGGCGGCGAGUGGCGAACGGGUGAGUAAUAUAUCGGAACGUGCCCAGUAGCGGGGGAUAACUACGCGAAAGCGUGGCUAAUACCGCAUACGCCCUACGGGGGAAAGGGGGGAUCUCGAACUCUCACUAUUGAGCGGCCGAUAUCAGAUUAGCUAGUUGGUGAGGUAAAGGACGUCACCAAGGCGACGAAUCUGUAGCUGGUUUGUAGAGGACGACCAGCCACACUGGACUGAGACACGGCCCAGACUCCUACGGGAGGCAGCAGUGGGGAAGUUUGGUACAAAUGGGGGGAAAACCCGUCGAUCCAGCCACUCCCGCCGCGUGCGAUGAAAGGGCCUUCGGGUUGUAAAGACGACCUUUUGGUC
RNAcentral lists this ribosomal RNA (425 nucleotides) under uncultured soil bacterium. RNAcentral describes it as "bacterial SSU rRNA". It matches the Rfam family "Bacterial small subunit ribosomal RNA", at positions 26 to 444 of the family's 1533-position model. The record is from RNAcentral.